GGAUCCAACACUUUUUGGUUUUGCCUUACAGUCUGGGAGAUAAAAGCCUACCAUUGGAUUAAGUUUGAGCUCAAUAUUUUACAAGGGAGACGCGCCAUUGCAAGAAGGCAAGGUAAAGCGCAGGAAGCGAUAGGCGGCGACCAACUCAACCAAUACUACCAUACACAAGGGGGUAAAGACAAUCUGAAGCAAGGAAGGGCUGAGAAAGAGAUUGUCGAUACGUGCUGUAGAACUUGGACAAGAAGCAUCUCGUGGACACGUGGUGCAGGCAGCGAAGAAGCAGAUACAAGACAUUGGAUCUGGUUGCGUCAUCGGGGGUUGUGUGCAGGAACGUGUAGGCCAAGGUCUGGUGCACGAAUUUUGGCAACAGCCGAAGACGACGAGAAGGUUCCAGUUGAGUUUGAAAGUCUUCAAAGUGUGCGUGGCGCUACAGAGAGGCGCGAGCACGAGACGGAGCGGGACAGCAGCAAUCAUCCCCGAGUGUAAGCGGGGCAAAAGAGGUCAGACUGGAGAGGGAGCGUUGCCAGAAAGUUUGUUUUUGUAAUAUUUUUAAAAUGGAGAGAAGCGAGAUCUUGGCAUUGCGAGUUUGAGAGUUGCGUUGGAAGUUGUAUGAGUUGCAAUUGAGUACGACUGGAUUAAAGGUGGAAUUGCAACAGAGAUUAUUGUCACAUUACGAAGUAUAUAUCGAGGGUGAGUCAGAGACGGAGGAUAAUGGUGAGAAGAUAUUAUAUCGGUGUCAUCCGUGUCAACUACAAUCAAUCGACAAAACAGAGCAGGCUGGCAUCAAGGGCUAGGAGUUGAGAGACCAGGUAGAUCGUGGUUCACCCUUAAAGAUGUCGAGGGCAGCGUAAGUCAGUUCUCAGGAUCGAAGUCCCCGGAUAUCGAUCAAUGGAGAGGAGAGUUGGAAGAUUGUGCAGCUACAGUUGAGUGGAACCAGCUACAGGUAUUCGUGUAUGCAAAACAGUUGCUAGGUGGAGCAGCCAAGAUGUUUGUGCAGAAAGUUUGAAAUCGGCCUUGUUAGAGGAGUUUGGAGUUAACCUAUUGUAGUUUUUGGGUUAGAGUUUUUUUUGUUAAAGGCCGACUUUCGUAACUUUUUGCUAGCUCCUGUUUGGUACAUCAGCUGAUCGACGAUACAAGGUGGUAGAAGUUCCAGGUAAAGAGAGGUUUAUUUGUAAUCAUGUUAGCAUUUUGGAAAUGGCGUAUGUCCCACUUUCGCUGUUAACCGGAUGCGCAGGAAGUUCAGCUUAUGCCACGGUCUUUUCAAUUCUAGACGUGAGUCGAUCAAGUCGCUUCUCAGACCAAUACCAAGUUUUAGGGCAAAGAACUUAAACUGCGUCUGAAAAUUGUACAACGAUAUUCAGAAAAUACCUGAAGAGAAAUACAGCUGCCGCUGGGCCGCUUGGAAUAUCAAAAAAGUGCCAAACGCAAGUAAGUGAUUGGCACUUGGUACUUAGUGCAAAUCUUUUACAUUGAAGCUACAAGUUCAUUCACCCUUGAACCAAAGCCGUGCAUUAAAGGGAAUAAAAUCACUCGUUUUGCCGAGUAGAAAAGCACAAACAAAAACUACUGUUUUGUCUACGGCAGUGCCAAAUAAUUAAUAAUUGAUUGCGCUCCCGGCGAUCGGGAAUUCGCCGCUAUUAGGCGCAACUAAAGCCGAGAGAAGCCGCUGCAAUUGGACGAGAAAUAGUUUAAUUCGCACCUCCGAAGCCACCGUCUGGACGGGGAAGCCGUAACCUUCGUUAAAUUGUUGUAUACAUAUCUCUGGCUUUUUUUUUUGUCCCACACUAGCCUAAGUGUAAAAUAAGUUUGGUAGUGUUAAGUGAAACAUGAAAUAUUAAGUGAUUACGGAGGAAUGUAAAAGUCACAUAAAAGUG
Drosophila guanche is the source of this 1874-nucleotide long non-coding RNA. RefSeq lists it as uncharacterized. The transcript has 2 exons. NCBI's taxonomy places the organism in Eukaryota, Metazoa, Arthropoda, Insecta, Diptera, Drosophilidae. The record is from RefSeq and is a predicted model, not a curated record.